RNAcentral lists this ribosomal RNA (244 nucleotides) under uncultured Actinomycetales bacterium. Its description in RNAcentral is "partial 16S ribosomal RNA". It matches the Rfam family "Bacterial small subunit ribosomal RNA", at positions 89 to 334 of the family's 1533-position model. The record is from RNAcentral. Lineage: Bacteria; Bacillati; Actinomycetota; Actinomycetes; Actinomycetales.
GCCCGAGUGGCGAACGGGUGAGUAACACGUGAGUAACCUGCCCUUGACUUUGGGAUAACUUCAGGAAACUGGGGCUAAUACCGGAUAGGAGCUCCUGCUGCAUGGUGGGGGUUGGAAAGUUUCGGCGGUUGGGGAUGGACUCGCGGCUUAUCAGCUUGUUGGUGGGGUAGUGGCUUACCAAGGCUUUGACGGGUAGCCGGCCUGAGAGGGUGACCGGCCACAUUGGGACUGAGAUACGGCCCAG